This is a long non-coding RNA of Rosa chinensis, 655 nucleotides long. RefSeq lists it as uncharacterized. The transcript has 3 exons. Lineage: Eukaryota; Viridiplantae; Streptophyta; Magnoliopsida; Rosales; Rosaceae. The record is from RefSeq and is a predicted model, not a curated record.
CAACUAAAGAUGUGGGUUCUUCGAUCUCUGAGUUUACAACAUUGAUUUGGGGAUUUGUUCACGACUCGAUCUGGGUUUUUCCGGCCACUCAAUCAACAAGGAGGAGGAAAAGGGGGUUUCGCGCAGUUUUUCUUAACCCUAGAAGAUGAAGCCUUAGUUCCGUCAUUUAAAGGUCCUCAACUCCAAGACUUGCUUGGAACAUAGAAGAUUCAUAGCUCAGGAGCUUGCGAUGUUGAGUUCCCGGUUUUGCAUCCUCCUUGGAGUUAUCAAUUGUCUGGUGCUUAGGACAGGGAUUACUGAAGAAUCUCACGAACAUCAGAAUAACGCUCUGUUUACAGAUGGUAAUGAGGAUGGUAUUCGAGGUUUGGUACUUCAUAUGGUAUUGCUGGUAGCAGUGAGAAGGGGAGCAAGGGUAGAAGCUCGGGGAGCUUUAGAAAGAUGAUGAAGUGUCUUUGCUUGGGAGAGCAGUUAAGAGCACCAUAUGAUUUGGUAUUUUCAAAUGUGGAAUGAGUGGGCUAAGUUUGUCGUCAAUACAUAUAUCUAAGAGCUAUUAGAAUGACUUUUUGUGUUUGAUGAAUGUAUAGAUGAUUAGGAAAUACAUCAUUUGUAGUAUGUAUAGAUGACUAUAAUGUAUGAAUUUGAGUGCUUUAAUUGA